RNAcentral lists this ribosomal RNA (1442 nucleotides) under metagenome. RNAcentral's name for it is "bacterial LSU rRNA". It matches the Rfam family "Bacterial large subunit ribosomal RNA", at positions 1405 to 2925 of the family's 2925-position model. The record is from RNAcentral.
GAAGGCGUAGCCGAUGCACAGACGGUAGAGAUUCCGUCACCACCAAAAGAGUUAAGCACAGGGACACAUUUGAAGUCUCAGAGCCGGGUGUUGGUUCCGGUAGAGAUCGAGGGAAAUUAGUACCGAAGUCUGGGAUGGAAGAUGGCGAGAAAAGCUGUGUGUAUUUCUGAGGUGCCCGUACCGCAAACCGACACAGGUAGGUAGGAAGAAGAUUCUAAGGCCAACGGGAGAAGGGUUGUUAAGGAACUCGGCAAAUUGACCCCGUAACUUCGGGAGAAGGGGUGCUCCAGAGAUGGAGCCGCAGAGAAUCGGCCCAAGCAACUGUUUACCAAAAACACAGGUUUGUGCUAAAUCGAAAGAUGACGUAUACGAGCUGACGCCUGCCCGGUGCUGGAAGGUUAAAAGGAGAUGUGCAAGCAUUGAAUUGAAGCCCCAGUGAACGGCGGCCGUAACUAUAACGGUCCUAAGGUAGCGAAAUUCCUUGUCAGGUAAGUUCUGACCCGCACGAAAGGCGUAAUGAUUUGGGCACUGUCUCAACAGCCCGCCCGGCGAAAUUGUAGUACCGGUGAAGAUGCCGGUUACCCGCGACAAGACGGAAAGACCCCAUGGAGCUUUACUGUAGCCUAAUAUUGGGUUUCGAUGUUGCAUGCACAGGAUAGAUGGGACACAGGGAAACAAUCGCUUUGGCGGUUGCGGAGUGGCCGUUGGGAUACCAUCCUUGCGAUAUUGGAAUUCUAACCUGCGGCUCUGAAUCGAGUCGGGGGGCAUUGUUAGGUGGGCAGUUUGACUGGGGCGGUCGCCCCCUAAAAAGUAACGGAGGCGUUCAAAGGUUCGCUCAGCUUGAACGGAAAUCAAGCAAAAGAGUGCAAACGCAGAAGCGAGCCUAACUGCGAGACUGACGGGUCGAGCAGUAACGAAAGUUGGAGUUAGUGAUCCGGUGGUAUGUGAGUGGAAAUGCCAUCGCUCAACGGAUAAAAGUUACCCUGGGGAUAACAGGCUGAUCUCCCCCAAGAGUCCACAUCGACGGGGAGGUUUGGCACCUCGAUGUCGGCUCAUCGCAUCCUGGGGCUGAAUUCGGUCCCAAGGGUUUGGCUGUUCGCCAAUUAAAGCGGUACGCGAGCUGGGUUCAGAACGUCGUGAGACAGUUCGGUCCCUAUCUGUCGUGGGCGCAGGAUAUUUGAAAGGCGCUGUCCCUAGUACGAGAGGACCGGGAUGGACGAACCUCUGGUGCACCAGUUGUCACGCCAGUGGCACAGCUGGGCAGCUAUGUGCGGAUCGGAUAAACGCUGAAAGCAUCUAAGCGUGAAGCCGACCCAAAGAUAAGAUAUCCCACUGAUUUGAUCAGGUAAGACCCCUUGAAGACUACAAGGUUGAUAGGCACGAUGUGUAAGUGGAGUGAUCCAUUCAGCAAGCGUGUACUAAUAGGUCGAGGGCUUGACCAC